AGCAGCCGCGGUAAUUCCAGCUCCAAUAGCGUAUAUUAAAGUUGUUGCAGUUAAAAAGCUCGUAGUUGAAUUUCGGGAUUGACGUGAUGGUCGUGCCUUACGGGGUAUGAACUGUUGCUGUUGAUUUCUCACCUUCUGGAGAAACUUGAUGUCCUUAAUUGGGUGUCUUGCGGAUCCAGGACCUUUACCUUGAAAAAAUAAGAGUGUUUAAAGCAGGCAUUUUGCUCGAAUACAUUAGCAUGGAAUAAUAGAAUAGGACGGCAUGGUUCUAUUUUGUUGGUUUCUAGGAUCACCGUAAUGAUUAAUAGGGAUAGUUGGGGGCAUUAGUAUUCAAUUGUCAGAGGUGAAAUUCUUGGAUUUAUUGAAGACUAACUACUGCGAAAGCAUUUGCCAAGGAUGUUUUCAUUAAUCAAGAACGAAAGUUAGGGGAUCGAAGACGAUCAGAUACCGUCGUAGUCUUAACCAUAAACUAUGCCGACUAGGAAUCAGACGAUGUUAAUUUUUUAAUGACUCGUUUGGCACCUUACG
This 528-nucleotide ribosomal RNA is filed under the name uncultured Glomeromycotina. RNAcentral's name for it is "SSU rRNA". It matches the Rfam family "Eukaryotic small subunit ribosomal RNA", at positions 569 to 1092 of the family's 1831-position model. The record is from RNAcentral. Lineage: Eukaryota; Fungi; Glomeromycota.